This 343-nucleotide ribosomal RNA is filed under the name uncultured bacterium. RNAcentral's name for it is "bacterial SSU rRNA". It matches the Rfam family "Bacterial small subunit ribosomal RNA", at positions 147 to 507 of the family's 1533-position model. The record is from RNAcentral.
CACAGCGAAAGUUGUGCUAAUACCGCAUAAUAUGUUUUUACCGCAUGAUAGAAACAUCAAAGAUUUAUCGCUUAUGGAUGGACUCGCGUCUGAUUAGAUAGUUGUGGGGUAACGGCUCACCAAGUCGACGAUCAGUAGCCGAACUGAGAGGUUGAUCGGCCACAUUGGGACUGAGACACGGCCCAGACUCCUACGGGAGGCAGCAGUGGGGGAAUAUUGCGCAAUGGGGGCAACCCUGACGCAGCAACGCCGCGUGAAGGAUGAAGGUCUUCGGAUUGUAAACUUUUGUCUUUAGGGACGAAAAAGGACGGUGCCUAAGGAGGAAGCCACGGCUAACUACGUG